GCUCGCGUAGCCUAAUUGGAUAGGGCGUCAGACUCUAAUCUGAAGAUUGCGGGUUCGAGUCCCGCCGUGAGUG
This 73-nucleotide transfer RNA is filed under the name Piromyces finnis. It matches the Rfam family "tRNA". From Rfam's summary of the family: Transfer RNA (tRNA) molecules are approximately 80 nucleotides in length. Their secondary structure includes four short double-helical elements and three loops (D, anti-codon, and T loops). Lineage: Eukaryota; Fungi; Neocallimastigomycota; Neocallimastigomycetes; Neocallimastigales; Neocallimastigaceae. The record is from Rfam by way of RNAcentral.